RNAcentral lists this long non-coding RNA (1336 nucleotides) under Ananas comosus (pineapple). RNAcentral's name for it is "long non-coding RNA (ACOM_LNC011569)". The record is from RNAcentral. Lineage: Eukaryota; Viridiplantae; Streptophyta; Magnoliopsida; Poales; Bromeliaceae.
GAAGAGGAGAAAAUUACAAAAAAAAAGUUUUUAUUCGAUUAUCCAUGAUUGAGAAAGGGUGGUACGUAAAGCAAGAAGUGGCCGGAAGAAGCCAAUUACGGCGGCGGUUGCGGGCGGCGGACAUACAUACAUAUAUAUAUGCAUGGUAGAUAGAUCAGCUGGCUCAGGCAAGCGUAUAUAUCGAUCGAUCGUGCUCCGGUUCACGGCUUCUGCAGACGAGGAUCAGGAUGGUUUCCGAUACGAGGGGGCUGAAAUGGCAUUUUGGAUGGCGGCUUUGGAGGAUCGGGCCCUUUCACGGCAGACAGGCAUUUUAUUUCUCCUUCCCGAACGUUGCAGUUGUUGGAAUGUGGGGGCCGAGCAACUAGGGAGCGAGAAAAGACGGGAAGCAGAUGAAGCAAAUUCAAAUGAAUGGUGGUGAGAUCGAACCUCCGUCCGCACACGGUUGAAUUCAAUAUCUUUGAACCUCUCAAAAGUUUCACAUUACUCCUUUUUCAAUUUUUCUACAUAAAUAUAUAUGAUGUGUGAAUUUUCAAUUUGACAAUUAGAUUCCGUAAAUUUUACCAAAUAAUUUAAUAGGUAUUUUUUUAAAAUUGAGAUUGCUAAAUAUAUAGUUAUUUUGAUCGUAUAUCUUACUCUAAUCUUGUAAAAUAAAACCAGAUGCCUAAAUACUAACUUUGGAAAACAGAAAAAAAAAAAAAAUUUGUUAGUUUUGAAGUCUUACAAGAUUUUGUACAUAGCAUAUGGUUAAAACUUUUUUAUAAUUACUAACUUUGGUUGACAAGCGACGCCCAUUAGUAGUUUCAAAUUUUUAUCAAAAUUUUACUUUCCAUUCGAUCCUUUUCAAAAAAAAAAAAAAAAAAAAAAAAAAAAAAAAAAAAAAAAAAAUCUUCUGUAAUAUAAUGUUAAAUUUAACUGAUGAAACAAAUAUCUGCACGUCGGAUUAACCUUUUUCUAAAUUAUGUAUGCAUUAACGACAUGAAGUAGGAAUUACCAUUUAGCAAAACAAGUAUUUAAAAUUGUUGGAACAAAGCUUAUUUUUAACUUACUAACUAUUAGUUUCUUGCUAAACAUAAACAUUGAUUUAAUAUCUGUGCUUAUCUUUUUAUUAAUAAAACGAUAAAGCCUUAGAAAGCAAUCUGCUUUAUGACAUCAAAUGAUGAACUAAUUAAACUUACUAACCUCCUCUGGGGGCAUAGACGGGCGAAAGGCCCGAAAGAAAAAGGCAGAGAACGAUAGCGAUACGAACGACGGCAAACAACAUACUUCUCCGACGACGGUCCGUCAGCUUCAUAGCAAUAUUCUUCAGUAUCUUUAUUUCUUGUGCUGUUGAUUUGAU